RNAcentral lists this ribosomal RNA (653 nucleotides) under Salmonella enterica subsp. enterica serovar Typhimurium. RNAcentral describes it as "partial 23S ribosomal RNA". It matches the Rfam family "Bacterial large subunit ribosomal RNA", at positions 1 to 687 of the family's 2925-position model. The record is from RNAcentral. Lineage: Bacteria; Pseudomonadati; Pseudomonadota; Gammaproteobacteria; Enterobacterales; Enterobacteriaceae.
GGGUUGUGAGGUUAAGCGACUAAGCGUACACGGUGGAUGCCCUGGCAGUCAGAGGCGAUGAAGGGCGUGCUAAUCUGCGAUAAGCGCCGGUAAGGUGAUAUGAACCGUUAUAACCGGCGAUACCCGAAUGGGGAAACCCAGUGUGAUUCGUCACACUAUCAUUAACUGAAUCCAUAGGUUAAUGAGGCGAACCGGGGGAACUGAAACAUCUAAGUACCCCGAGGAAAAGAAAUCAACCGAGAUUCCCCCAGUAGCGGCGAGCGAACGGGGAGGAGCCCAGAGCCUGAAUCAGCAUGUGUGUUAGUGGAAGCGUCUGGAAAGGUGCGCGAUACAGGGUGACAGCCCCGUACACAAAAGCGCAUGUGCUGUGAGCUCGAUGAGUAGGGCGGGACACGUGGUAUCCUGUCUGAAUAUGGGGGGACCAUCCUCCAAGGCUAAAUACUCCUGACUGACCGAUAGUGAACCAGUACCGUGAGGGAAAGGCGAAAAGAACCCCGGCGAGGGGAGUGAAAAAGAACCUGAAACCGUGUACGUACAAGCAGUGGGAGCACCCUUCGGGGUGUGACUGCGUACCUUUUGUAUAAUGGGUCAGCGACUUAUAUUCUGUAGCAAGGUUAACCGUAUAGGGGAGCCGGAGGGAAACCGAGUCUUAA